CCUACGGGUGGCAGCAGUGAGGAAUAUUGGUCAAUGGGCUUACGCCUGAACCAGCCAAGUCGCGUGAGGGAAGACUGCCCUAUGGGUUGUAAACCUCUUUUGUCAGGGAGCAACGCCGGCUACGUGUAGCCGGUCUUAUAGUACCUGAAGAAAAAGCAUCGGCUAACUCCGUGCCAGCAGCCGCGGUAAUACGGAGGAUGCGAGCGUUAUCCGGCUUUAUUGGGUUAAAGGGGUGCGUAGGCGGAAUGCCAAGUCAGCGGUAAAAUCGCGGGGCCCAACCUCGCUCCGCGGUUGAAACUGGCGUGCUUGAGUGGGCGGGAGGUAUGCGGAAUGCGUGGUGUAGCGGUGAAAUGCAUAGAUAUCACGAAGAACUCCGAUUGCGAAGGCAGCAUACCGGAGCGCAACUGACGCUGAAGCACGAAGGCGUGGGUAUCGAACAGGAUUAGAUACCCUGGUAGUC
RNAcentral lists this ribosomal RNA (460 nucleotides) under uncultured bacterium. RNAcentral describes it as "partial 16S ribosomal RNA". It matches the Rfam family "Bacterial small subunit ribosomal RNA", at positions 338 to 795 of the family's 1533-position model. The record is from RNAcentral.